RNAcentral lists this non-coding RNA (800 nucleotides) under Coenobita brevimanus. Its description in RNAcentral is "12S ribosomal RNA". The stretch from base 390 to 793 matches the Rfam family "Microsporidia small subunit ribosomal RNA", at positions 752 to 1303 of the family's 1311-position model. Lineage: Eukaryota; Metazoa; Arthropoda; Malacostraca; Decapoda; Coenobitidae. The record is from RNAcentral.
UAUAAGUUUGAUUCUUGCUUUAAAUGUUCGCUUUUCAAUUAAUAACAUAUGAAAAAUCUAGUACUCCCAGGCUAACAAGUUCAAAACUCAAAGCUCUAAUAGAUCUCAGUGUGUAUUAUUUUCAUAUCAGUGAAAACUGGAAAAAGUAAAUUGAAUUAUCUCCGGCUAAAUCUUGUGCCAGCAGUCGCGGUUAUACUCGAAGGGAGAGUGAAUACAAGUCGAUAUUUAACUCUUAUGCCAACAAACAAUGAUUUUUUUUAAUUUUAUAAAGGGUGAAAUCAAUUUUUCAAAGAUAAAUAAAUCAACCCGUCUCAAUUAAUAAGUUAACAAAUAAAGGAAAUAAACAAGGAUUAGAUACCCUCCUAUACCUUUAAGAAAAAUUUAUAUCUGAUUAGUAACAGCUAUGUGCUCUAAAUUCAAAGAAUUUGGCGGUAUUUUAGUCUAAUUAGGGGAACCUGUCUUUUAAACGAUAAACCACGAAAAAUCUUACCUAUAUUACAUAGUUUGUAUACCGUCAUUAAGAUAACUUUUACAGAACAAGUUAUUGAAAUAAUUACGUUAAAAUAUUAGAUCAAGGUGCAGCAAAUAUAUAGGCUAAGAUGGGUUACAAUAAAAUUUAUAUUAUCACGAACAAAUUUUAGAAUACAAAUUUUGAAGGUGGACUUAAAAGUAAGGUUUGCUUUAAUAAGACAGCCUGAUUUUAGCUCUAAAAUGUGCACAUAUCGCCCGUCGCUUUCAUUAACCUAAGAUGAGAUAAGUCGUAACAUAGUAGGUGUACUGGAAAGUGUACCUGGAAAGCA